Molecule: long non-coding RNA, 348 nt
Filed under: Rattus norvegicus (Norway rat)
Lineage: Eukaryota; Metazoa; Chordata; Mammalia; Rodentia; Muridae
Description: long non-coding RNA NONRATT022884
Source: RNAcentral
CUGAUGGAGCAGCACCUCAGCUUCCUCAGCCUUUUCGCCCUCUCCCAGCGACAGACUGGUGACGUGAGAAAGGUGAAGAGGAAGGCUUUGAACAUGGUUUCCUUGGAAGAGAAGACGCGAUUUCAUCAAGCUAUGACCAAGGUCCUCGAACGAUGGGAAGAAACGCCCCGCCCACUCCUCAUGUGACAGGAAAGAAAGGAAUCCAAACCGACUACAGAGCUAAGCUGAAAAUAAACUUCCACUUGCUGCUAAGGCUGAAGGCCUGAGUUCAACAUUGUUGUCCUCUGAAUGUGCGCAGGUGCACAGGCCCUCACACGCAAAUAAAUGUAAUAAAACGUAAAAUUGAAA